RNAcentral lists this ribosomal RNA (549 nucleotides) under uncultured bacterium. RNAcentral describes it as "partial 16S ribosomal RNA". It matches the Rfam family "Bacterial small subunit ribosomal RNA", at positions 355 to 893 of the family's 1533-position model. The record is from RNAcentral.
UGGGGAAUUUUGGACGAAUUGGGCGCAAGCCUGAUCCAGCCAUGCCGCGCGCGGGAAGAAGGCCUUCGGGUUGUAAACCGCUUUUGUCAGGGAAGAAAUCUUCUGAGUUAAUACCUCGGGAGGAUGACGGUACCUGAAGAAUAAGCACCGGCUAACUACGUGCCAGCAGCCGCGGUAAUACGUAGGGUGCAAGCGUUAAUCGGAAUUACUGGGCGUAAAGCGUGCGCAGGCGGUUUUGUAAGACAGAGGUGAAAUCCCCGGGCUCAACCUGGGAACUGCCUUUGUGACUGCAAGGCUUGAGUGCGGCAGAGGGGGAUGGAAUUCCGCGUGUAGCAGUGAAAUGCGUAGAUAUGCGGAGGAACACCGAUGGCGAAGGCAAUCCCCUGGGCCUGCACUGACGCUCAUGCACGAAAGCGUGGGGAGCAAACAGGAUUAGAUACCCUGGUAGUCCACGCCCUAAACGAUGUCAACUGGUUGUUGGGGAAGGUUCCUUUCUCAGUAACGUAGCUAACGCGUGAAGUUGACCGCCUGGGGAGUACGGCCGCAAGG